UACAGAGGUCUCAAGCGUUGUUCGGAUUCAUUGGGCGUAAAGGGCGCGUAGGCUGCGGGGCAAGUCGGGUGUGAAAUCUCAGAGCUCAACUCUGAAACUGCACUCGAUACUGCCGUGCUUGAGGACUGGAGAGGAGACUGGAAUUUACGGUGUAGCGGUGAAAUGCGUAGAUAUCGUAAGGAAGACCAGUGGCGAAGGCGGGUCUCUGGACAGUUCCUGACGCUGAGGCACGAAGGUCAGGGGAGCAAACGGG
RNAcentral lists this ribosomal RNA (253 nucleotides) under uncultured bacterium. RNAcentral's name for it is "partial 16S ribosomal RNA". It matches the Rfam family "Bacterial small subunit ribosomal RNA", at positions 524 to 776 of the family's 1533-position model. The record is from RNAcentral.